Mesocricetus auratus (golden hamster) is the source of this 1416-nucleotide RNA transcript. It is a transcript of the gene named chromosome unknown C20orf96 homolog, with no coding region annotated. Lineage: Eukaryota; Metazoa; Chordata; Mammalia; Rodentia; Cricetidae. The record is from RefSeq and is a predicted model, not a curated record. The transcript is spliced from 12 exons.
GCCCGCGAUGCUGCCAUGACUUCCCUGCAGCAGAAAGACACGUCAUACAGAGAGCUAAUUGGACACACCCCCUCUAGGACUCAUUUCUCAGGGCGCAAGUCGCAAGUACUGUGGUCAGAGAAGAACCCGAAGCCAUUCACUCUGCCUCCCCUCCAACAAGCCAAAGGCCACAGCAGAAGCAAAAUGAAGACUCCGUCUAGUAUCCAGCCAGCGGUGCAGUCCCAGACCUCUGUAGAGAUGGCAAAUGUAGACAAGAAUCUACGAGGACUGCAAAAAAGGGAUCAAUUGCACCAUGGGAAGAUGCAGGCCAAGGUUCGGCUGAUGCGGCUGAUGCUUCGAAACCAGCGGACCUCACUGCAGGAGCUCUCCAGCCACGAGGAAUUCCUCAGCAAGCUCAACCAGGAGCUCAUCAAUUCCAUUCAGGACAUGGAGGACAGCAUGGCCUUGAAUGUUCGGGAAAUGCUGCAGCAGCAGGGCAUUCUCCGGAAUGUCAUCGACAUCUUGGAGUACUCGAACAAGAAGCGGGUGCAGCAGCUGAGGUCUGAGCUCCAGGAGUGGAAAGAAAAGGAGGAGAGCAAAAUAAACAGCCUGCAGCAGGAGUUGGAGCAGCUGAACGCUGAGAUCCAGAAGGCCCACGAGGAGGUGAGUUUCCUGAGCACCUACAUGGACCACGAGUAUCCUGUCAGGUUGGUACAGAUCGCCAAUCACAAACGCCAGGUGCAGCAGGCCAAGGACAGCCAGCAGGAUGAGCUGGACAACCUCAAAGAGAUGCGUCAAAUGGUCCUGGGGAAAUUUUCCAACAUGAUUCAGGAGAAGAAGAAGAAAAUCCUGAGAUCUCUGAUGGCGAAAAUCCAGAAACCCUAUGAGAAGAUACUCAUGCUGAAGACCCAGGACAGCAAGCGUCUGCAGAGGUGCACGGUCUGGUUCAGGGAGCUUAUCCAGCAGCUGAAGGAAGAAAUACCUGUGUUACUUGCGGAGGUGGAGCAAAUGUACGCAGAGGUCUGGGACCCCCGGGAGGUCGUUUUUAAGGAUAUUCUACUUCAGAGACCCAACCUCUCCCUGAGACUCUGAGGCCACAUGCCUGGUUGGGAGCAGUGGUUAGAUGCUCAGCCGAGGGCUCCGUGACCCUCCCACCUGCCUCCUUCUGUGAGGGGAUGUCAUCAAUCGACAGAGUGCACCCCAGACAUGGCUGUUGAGCUCAACAUUCCUGUGCAAGAGUCACUCCCCUUCUAGAUGGAAGUGCCUGGCUACCUCUCCUUUCUCCUCUUCCCAGCACAGGGGUUUGGCUGGUUUACCUGUAAGACAAUGUCUCCAUUUUGAAUCUGGCCCACAGCCCCUCCUCUACACGUCUCCCUUGCUGCUCGGACCAGGCAGAUAUGCCCAGUCCUUGCUGCCAAUAAAUCUGGGUUUGUGUUU